This 3396-nucleotide long non-coding RNA is filed under the name Homo sapiens (human). Its description in RNAcentral is "HSALNT0240511". Lineage: Eukaryota; Metazoa; Chordata; Mammalia; Primates; Hominidae. The record is from RNAcentral.
AGUCAAGGAAGAGUGAAGUGACUUGGGUGAGCAGCAGAGUUGAGGGUUGUGGUCUUUCUGAUGUGCAGUCUCCAUGAGACCAGAUCCAGAACAAUCCAUGCCCCACCGCACUAGCACACAGCUGGUUCCCAUUCCCCAGGCGUGGGAAACAGCCGGGCUGGUUGGAGGCCUGCCAGGGUGGGAGGUCUGGUCACCAGGUGCCCCAGGACAGGGAGGAGGGGGCAAAGCAGGGGGUCCGGCAUUCAGAUUCCCAUACUGGUCUCACCGUUUAUCAUCCGUGUGACCUUGACAAGUGCCUUCUCCUCCCUCGAUGCAGUUUCCCCGUUUGAAAACAGGUGUGAUGUUGUUAAAACCUCCCUGGAGUGUUACAUUAAACGAGGUAGUGGAUGUACAGCUCUUCGUAAAGUGUAAAGUGAUAGAGAGGGUAACAAUAGACACUCUUCCAUAACAAUAGCUGGAAUAAUCGCCUCUGCUGUGGGGACCUCAGUGGCUAGUUUAGGGGUCAUCUUUCCCCGUGAGAUGAGGAAUUACUCCCCUGUGACACACGAGGACAGAAGGCAUUUGCUUUGGUUACAGAGUGAGGGGACUGGCAUUGCUGAGCCUGUGUGCUCCCACGUCACGUGGUCCCUGGCAGGUCCCCACUUUGCCCCUGUCUGACCAAAGCUCCUCCCAGGAAGGGAGACUUUAGGCCCCAAACUUAGCAGGUCCAGACCAACUCCUGAUUGGCUGGCCUAGCCCAGUGCCUGGCACAUCAUAGGUCAAAACAUGCUCGUGGAAUAAAUGCUCAUGAAUGGCGAAUGUGGGGUCUUCCCACACCCUUGACUCAUAAGUUUAAAAUCUACCCAAAAACCCCAGCAUUGCAGAGACAUGCCCAGGCAGACAGGCCCCUCUGUGGAAAGAGCUGUUUGUCAUGGCUAAAGGGAAGAUUAACCAAAGGAAAGGGGACGGCAAGCCAGCCUGUGUCGCAGCGGCUGGUGACCUGGAUUCCUGCCCCUCUUCUGGACCGAGUGGCUGUGCCAGUGUGGGCAUGGGGCCCAAGGCUGCCGGCCUCCCAGGCAUUCACAUUCCACUCCCAGGAGCCCACAGCCUCUAGUGCUGCAGAGCUCCUGCCAGCCUGAUUGGAGCAGCUUAUGACAUGACAGUGGCCAGAAUGACACAGACCUCAGUCCCAUAACCGUCCCUCCAGCUCCCAUUUUCCGAGAGCCUGCUAGGUCCUACACAGAGUCCGGGGGGCGCAUUUCGCAUAUAGCAGCUCUAAUCAUCACGGAAGCCCUGCCAGGGAAGAGGAUGGGGCAUGAAAGACCAGUGGAAGAAAUGGGAAUUCCUCAGGCUGAGGGAAUAAAAGGUCAUACUGUUAACUGCUCACUCUGCUGCCUCGAGGCUGGACUUUCAGACAUCCUACUUCUCAGCCCGGGAUUCUCUGUGCUGGACUCCACUUCUCACAUCUACAGGCCCUUUUGGGUGGUUGAUGAAGGACCUGGAAGCUGAUUUCCUAAGAGUGAAUAACUUGGUGCCCUGAAGCUGACCCCUCAUCCACUAUAAACUGUCGAUGCUGGGUUGGUAUAGUGCCUUUGGAAAGCAGUAAAGCAAUUACCAGCAAAAGGCAUGAAGCUCUUCCUCCCCCUUUGACCCAGUAAUCUCUUUCCCUGGGAAAUUAUUCCAAGGAAAUUAUCCAAACGAAGCCAAGUGUUAUCUGCAUACAUGUGUGCAUUGAAGUCUUUCUUUAAAGGUCAAAAACUGGGAACCACAAUAAGGAAGUGGUUUAAUAAACUGGGACAUCAACACAAUGGACAAUCAGGCCUGGAAAUCCACAGCUGUGUGACUGUGAUGGGGAAUGGAAACAUGGAGAAUGCUUCUACUACACAGUGUAUCACCACUACACUCCCACCUAACUAGCUAAUUCAACAAAUCACGCUUGUCAAGGAGAGAGAAGUCUCUCUGUUCAUGUUCAAAAUAAACUCAGCCUCUGACACCACAAAGGAACAGAAGAGAAGCUUAAAUGCAACAAACACAAUAAGCUCAAUAAUUCUUGGCUUUUGAGUUUCCAAGGCCACAGGUCCUGAUGAUGUAUGACAUUUUCUGAGAGUGAUUUUGAUGAUUGGUUAUUGAUGAUUUUCACCUUUCACACUGUACUUGUUAUUAAGCCAUCUAAUUCAUCAUAUUAAAUUUUGUUAAGAUACCUGGUGUGGUUUCUGUUUUCUGGCCAGACUCUGAUACAUACACAGACCAUGGACCCUGAUGAAUGAUAUCUCCCCCAUAAUGAUAAGUGAUUUUUUAAGACUUCAAAAUUAGUGCACCCACCAUGAUUUCAACUUAUACAAAUGUAUACUUAAGGAGGGUACAGGUAUGGCUGGUCUCCUCCAAAUUAUACUUUGUACUAGUUGCCUCUUGAUGCAUAAUAAAGUACCCUAAAGCUCAGUGUCUUGAAACAACAACUUUUAUCAUCUCACAGUUUCUGUGGGUCACAGAUCCAGGUGCAGCUUAGCUGAGUCCUCCACUUCAGCACCUCUGCAGGCUGCAGUCAAGCUGUCAGCUGAGCUGGAGUCAUCUCAAGGCUCAAUUGGGGACCCAAUACCAAGCUUACUCGAGUGGUUGCUGGCAGGAUUCAGUUCCUCGUGGACCACUGGAUUCAAGGCCCCGAUGCCCUUCACUGCCUGUGCCCUCUGUUCCUCAGCACGUUGGCCGUUCCAUGGGGCAGCCUCCAACAUGGCAGCUGCUUCAUCAGAACACAUAAGAAAGAAGUCUCGAAGAGUGUGAGCAGGAGGGGAGUCCCAGUUUUGUAUAGUCUAAUCUCAAAAGUGACAUUCCCCCACUUUUACCAUAUUUUACUCAUUAGGAGCAAGUCACCAGGUCCAGCCUACACUCAGGGGAGGGGAUUACACAAGGACGCGUGGUAUGCCUACCACAUACUUGAACAUUUAUAGCAUCUUCUCAAUAACAAAAACAGUAUUUUCUCAAGUUACUUGUCUAAUAUGGAAACUUUCUAAAUCCGUUGGUAAAUGCCCACACCCAUUUCUCUCAAGCAACAGCCCCCUGGUCCCCCUGGUCCCCCGCCCCCACCAGACUUAGUGGAAAGUCCCUGCUGGGUGAGUGAGUGGCUUUUUGCCAGAUUGGGGGUGGGGUGGGUGGCAGGAUGGAGGCAACAUGGGCACCUUCAGAGAUCAAACAUCAGAGGAGGGAGGCAACUCAGGACUCGCCUUUGAAAAAGGUUCAGUUGGUGCCUGCCCCAGGCCAUUACCAUUGCUUUAGGCUGAAUUCUUAACCAGCCCAACAAGGCCUGGCCAGAUGUGGCUCCGCCUGCUUUCUCCAAGCUCAACUCGCCUUUCUGUUCGCUCUCCACACGCUAACCACAGUGGCCUCUUCUCUGGCCUCAGACAGGCCAGGCUCUUCUUCUCC